CCGCUUUUAGCUCAGUGGUCGGGCGUUGGCUUUGGAAGCCACAGGUCGGUGGUUCGAACCCGCCAGGGCACA
Molecule: transfer RNA, 72 nt
Filed under: Phytophthora infestans T30-4
Lineage: Eukaryota; Oomycota; Peronosporomycetes; Peronosporales; Peronosporaceae
Rfam family: tRNA
About the family: Transfer RNA (tRNA) molecules are approximately 80 nucleotides in length. Their secondary structure includes four short double-helical elements and three loops (D, anti-codon, and T loops).
Source: Rfam by way of RNAcentral